GAUGAAGAACGGAGCGAAAUGCGAUACGUAAUGUGAAUUGCAGAAUUCAGUGAAUCAUCGAAUCUUUGAACGCACAUUGCGCCUGCCAGCACUCUGGCAGGCAUGCCUGUUCGAGCGUCAUUUCAACCAUCAAGCCCUAGGCUUGCGUUGGAGCCCUGCGGCUGCCGCAGGCCCCUAAAAGCAGUGGCGGGCUCGCUAUCACACCGAGUGCAGUAGAUUACUCUUCGCUCAGGGCGUGUGGCGGGUUCCAGCCGUGAAACCCCCUACUUCUCAAGGUUGACCUCGGAUCAGGUAGGAAUACCCGCUGAACUUAAGCAUAUCAAUAAGCGGAGGA
Molecule: unclassified non-coding RNA, 334 nt
Filed under: soil metagenome
Description: partial contains 5.8S ribosomal RNA, internal transcribed spacer 2, and large subunit ribosomal RNA
Rfam family: 5.8S ribosomal RNA (bases 1-120)
Source: RNAcentral